UCGUCUCGGGCUUGACUGUGCUGCCUCGUCUCGGGCUUGACUGUGCUGCCUCGUCUCGGGCUUGACUGUGCUGCCUCGUCUCGGGCUUUGGGUAGCAUUGUCUGCAGUAAGGUGUCAUGAGAAUGAUCCCUUAAAAUAAUCACUGAUCUGACAUGAGUAGAAGAGUGUACUACUGGAAGAUUUCCAUUGCAUUGCUUUCACAAUUAUUUCUUGUCAGAGGUGUGGAAGGAAUCAUGCAGUUUUCACCAUGCAAAUAAAUCUCUGGCUCCUAGAUUCUCUCUAGUUUAGGUAACAACGUGUCUCUGGCUCCUAGAUUCUCUCUAGUUUAGGUAACAACGUGUCUCUGGCUCCUAGAUUAUCUCUAGUUUAGGUAACAACGCGUCUCUGGCUCCUAGAUUCUCUCUAGUUUAGGUAACAACGUGUCUCUGGCUCCUAGAUUCUCUCUAGUUUAGGUAACAACGUGUCUCUGGCUCCUAGAUUCUCUCUAGUUUAGGUAACAACGUGUCUCUGGCUCCUAGAUUCUCUCUAGUUUAGGUAACAACGCGUCUCUGGCUCCUAGAUUCUCUCUAGUUUAGGUAACAACGCGUCUCUGGCUCCUAGAUUCUCUCUAGUUUAGGUAACAACGUGUCUCUGGCUCCUAGAUUCUCUCUAGUUUAGGUAACAACGUGUCUCUGGCUCCUAGAUUCUCUCUAGUUUAGGUAACAACGUGUCUCUGGCUCCUAGAUUCUCUCUAGUUUAGGUAACAACGUGUCUCUGGCUCCUAGAUUCUCUCUAGUUUAGGUAACAACGUGUCUCUGGCUCCUAGAUUCUCUCUAGUUUAGGUAACAACGUGUCUCUGGCUCCUAGAUUCUCUCUAGUUUAGGUAACAACGCGUCUCUGGCUCCUAGAUUCUCUCUAGUUUAGGUAACAACGCGUCUCUGGCUCCUAGAUUCUCUCUAGUUUAGGUAACAACGUGUCUCUGGCUCCUAGAUUCUCUCUAGUUUAGGUAACAACGUGUCUCUGGCUCCUAGAUUCUCUCUAGUUUAGGUAACAACGUGUCUCUGGCUCCUAGAUUCUCUCUAGUUUAGGUAACAACGUGUCUCUGGCUCCUAGAUUCUCUCUAGUUUAGGUAACAACGCGUCUCUGGCUCCUAGAUUCUCUCU
Oncorhynchus keta (chum salmon) is the source of this 1142-nucleotide long non-coding RNA. RefSeq lists it as uncharacterized. The transcript is spliced from 3 exons. The record is from RefSeq and is a predicted model, not a curated record. Lineage: Eukaryota; Metazoa; Chordata; Actinopteri; Salmoniformes; Salmonidae.